This 1347-nucleotide ribosomal RNA is filed under the name uncultured bacterium. Its description in RNAcentral is "partial 16S ribosomal RNA". It matches the Rfam family "Bacterial small subunit ribosomal RNA", at positions 28 to 1381 of the family's 1533-position model. The record is from RNAcentral.
GACGAACGCUGGCGGCGUGCUUAACACAUGCAAGUCGAACGGAAAGGCCCUGCUUUUGUGGGGUGCUCGAGUGGCGAACGGGUGAGUAACACGUGAGUAACCUGCCCUUGACUUUGGGAUAACUUCAGGAAACUGGGGCUAAUACCGGAUAGGAGCUCCUGCUGCAUGGUGGGGGUUGGAAAGUUUCGGCGGUUGGGGAUGGACUCGCGGCUUAUCAGCUUGUUGGUGGGGUAGUGGCUUACCAAGGCUUUGACGGGUAGCCGGCCUGAGAGGGUGACCGGCCACAUUGGGACUGAGAUACGGCCCAGACUCCUACGGGAGGCAGCAGUGGGGAAUAUUGCACAAUGGGCGGAAGCCUGAUGCAGCAACGCCGCGUGCGGGAUGACGGCCUUCGGGUUGUAAACCGCUUUCGCCUGUGACGAAGCGUGAGUGACGGUAAUGGGUAAAGAAGCACCGGCUAACUACGUGCCAGCAGCCGCGGUGAUACGUAGGGUGCGAGCGUUGUCCGGAUUUAUUGGGCGUAAAGGGCUCGUAGGUGGUUGAUCGCGUCGGAAGUGUAAUCUUGGGGCUUAACCCUGAGCGUGCUUUCGAUACGGGUUGACUUGAGGAAGGUAGGGGAGAAUGGAAUUCCUGGUGGAGCGGUGGAAUGCGCAGAUAUCAGGAGGAACACCAGUGGCGAAGGCGGUUCUCUGGGCCUUUCCCUGACGCUGAGGAGCGAAAGCGUGGGGAGCGAACAGGCUUAGAUACCCUGGUAGUCCGCGCUGUAAACGGUGGGUACUAGGUGUGGGGUCCAUUCCACGGGUUCCGUGCCGUAGCUAACGCUUUAAGUACCCCGCCUGGGGAGUACGGCCGCAAGGCUAAAACUCAAAGGAAUUGACGGGGCCCCGCACAAGCGGCGGAGCAUGCGGAUUAAUUCGAUGCAACGCGUAGAACCUUACCUGGGUUUGACAUGGAUCGGGAGUGCUCAGAGAUGGGUGUGCCUCUUUUGGGGUCGGUUCACAGGUGGUGCAUGGCUGUCGUCAGCUCGUGUCGUGAGAUGUUGGGUUAAGUCCCGCAACGAGCGCAACCCUUGUUCACUGUUGCCAGCACGUUAUGGUGGGGACUCAGUGGAGACCGCCGGGGUCAACUCGGAGGAAGGUGGGGAUGACGUCAAGUCAUCAUGCCCCUUAUGUCCAGGGCUUCACGCAUGCUACAAUGGCUGGUACAGAGAGUGGCGAGCCUGUGAGGGUGAGCGAAUCUCGGAAAGCCGGUCUCAGUUCGGAUUGGGGUCUGCAACUCGACCUCAUGAAGUCGGAGUCGCUAGUAAUCGCAGAUCAGCAACGCUGCGGUGAAUACGUUCCCGGGGCU